UAGAGAAUGAGUUCACUGAACACGAUCAACGAAGAGUUCUCAUAUUCAUGUCACAUGAGAACUCAUGGUUGGGAUAAUGCAAAGUAGUCCUUUGACCUGAGGCAUCAUAGUUGUCUUGUGGUUAAGUCAUUGAUCUUUGAUUAUGUCAAAGUCACUCCAUCAGGAGGGUGUCCACGGCAUAGUUGGGGUUAAGCCACUUAGCUAUGGAGGCAAGUGAAUGUGCAGCAAGGGAUCUCUAACCUUCAAACUGUUUGAGGGAGAAUACUCUAUGAUAUGAUUAAGAAUCUCUGGCCAGAGUAUGAAUGAGAUUUAGGAAAGU
This 319-nucleotide long non-coding RNA is filed under the name Malus domestica (apple). Its description in RNAcentral is "long non-coding RNA (MDOM_LNC012723)". Lineage: Eukaryota; Viridiplantae; Streptophyta; Magnoliopsida; Rosales; Rosaceae. The record is from RNAcentral.